RNAcentral lists this ribosomal RNA (480 nucleotides) under Triticum aestivum (bread wheat). Its description in RNAcentral is "partial small subunit ribosomal RNA". The record is from RNAcentral. Lineage: Eukaryota; Viridiplantae; Streptophyta; Magnoliopsida; Poales; Poaceae.
AUGGCCUCCACCACGAGCUUCUUAGCCAUGAUCAUGGCGUGCACGCUCCUCGCCAGCACGACGUGCCAUGCCGCUCGCCACUUGGCCGACACCACCCCGGCGGCUGCCCCACCCGCUGCCGUUGAUGUCCCUGGCCUCCCGGCCGUGCCGACCAUGCCGACGCUGCCACCGAUGCCGGCUGUGCCGACGGUGUCGUCCUUGACCGUGCCACCUAUGCCGACUGUGCCACCCGUGCCGCAGGUGACACUGCCGCCCAUGCCCGCUGUUCCUGCGGUGCCGAAGGUGACGAUGCCCCCAAUGCCCGCCAUCGUCGUGCCUAAGGUGACCAUGGCACCGAUGCCCGCCGUCGUUGUGCCUAAGGUGACGAUGCCGCCGAUGCCCGCCAUUCCUUCUAUGCCCAAGAUGACGCUACCGCCGAUGCCUUCUAUCCCCACUGUCAACGUGCCUAUGCCGUUCUUGGCGCCGCCUCCAUCAACUUAG